GGCUGGUCCCAGUGCAGUGGUAUUUACAACUAAUUGAUUACAACCAGUUGCAGAUUCCUUUGUUCCUUCUUCACUCCCACUGCCUCACUUCAGUGGCCUUAA
RNAcentral lists this Y RNA (102 nucleotides) under Microcebus murinus (gray mouse lemur). RNAcentral describes it as "Y RNA (ENSMICG00000044008.1)". It matches the Rfam family "Y RNA". From Rfam's summary of the family: Y RNAs are components of the Ro ribonucleoprotein particle (Ro RNP), in association with Ro60 and La proteins. The Y RNAs and Ro60 and La proteins are well conserved, but the function of the Ro RNP is not known. In humans the RNA component can be one of four small RNAs -- hY1, hY3, hY4 and hY5. Lineage: Eukaryota; Metazoa; Chordata; Mammalia; Primates; Cheirogaleidae. The record is from Rfam by way of RNAcentral.